Molecule: ribosomal RNA, 408 nt
Filed under: uncultured bacterium
Lineage: Bacteria
Description: bacterial SSU rRNA
Rfam family: Bacterial small subunit ribosomal RNA
Source: RNAcentral
UGGGGAAUAUUGCACAAUGGGCGGAAGCCUGAUGCAGCGACGCCGCGUGAGGGAUGACGGCCUUCGGGUUGUAAACCUCUUUCGACAGGGACGAAGCUUUUGUGACGGUACCUGUAUAAGAAGCACCGGCUAACUACGUGCCAGCAGCCGCGGUAAUACGUAGGGUGCGAGCGUUGUCCGGAAUUACUGGGCGUAAAGAGCUCGUAGGUGGUUUGUCGCGUCGUCUGUGAAAUUCCGGGGCUUAACUCCGGGCGUGCAGGCGAUACGGGCAUAACUUGAGUGCUGUAGGGGAGACUGGAAUUCCUGGUGUAGCGGUGAAAUGCGCAGAUAUCAGGAGGAACACCGAUGGCGAAGGCAGGUCUCUGGGCAGUAACUGACGCUGAGGAGCGAAAGCAUGGGGAGCGAACA